UUGAAACAUUGGUUCCUGUACGAUCACUGAAGUUAAGCAAUGUCAAGUCUGGCCAGUACCUAGAUCAGUGACCACUUAGGAAUACCAGGUGCUGUAAG
Non-coding RNA from Acanthosepion pharaonis, 98 nucleotides. The record is from the annotation of a GenBank genome assembly. NCBI's taxonomy places the organism in Eukaryota, Metazoa, Mollusca, Cephalopoda, Sepiida, Sepiidae.